UGCCGGGUGGUGUAAUGGUAACACUACUGAUUUUGGUUCAGUCAUUCAUGGUUCGAGUCCAUGCCCGGUAG
RNAcentral lists this transfer RNA (71 nucleotides) under Planctomycetales bacterium. RNAcentral's name for it is "tRNA-Gln". It matches the Rfam family "tRNA". Rfam says of the family: Transfer RNA (tRNA) molecules are approximately 80 nucleotides in length. Lineage: Bacteria; Pseudomonadati; Planctomycetota; Planctomycetia; Planctomycetales. The record is from RNAcentral.